CCACGCUCUCAGGGGCUACCCCAGUUAAGGAGGCGCUGUCCUGGCGUCGGAUGGGGACGGGGAACGCGGCGAGGGCGCUGCGACCUCUGCCCACCUGGCCCGGCCGCAGUCUCGGAGUUCCUGUUCCUCACAGGAGCUAAUUAUUUAUGACAGCUGCAUGGUUCCCCUCCCCCAGUUACUCAGUGCUUGGCACUCGGCACCCCUUACUCAGCACUCAGUACCGCACUCGGCCUCAGGGGACCUGGGCAGAGGGAAGCAGGGAGUCUCCCGCGGAAACUCUUGCUCUGCCAAAGGCCUGGACAGCAAAUGAGGAAGACUUAUUGCAGAAAUUCAGAGCCUAGUGACCUGGACCAGGGUGGAGGCAGCAGAGGAGAGAAACAGAUGAUCAAGACUCUGCUAGCAGGAGAAAAAGAGAGAAAAGAGAGAUGAAAAAGUCUUGUGUGACCAGAAGCUUAUCAACCUUGUGUGCUGUUGGCUUACUUUAACAUUUACAGCAGAUGAUAGAAUUGUGUUCAGAUGACACAAUAAGGUAUCAAAUGACUUCACGAAAGCAAGACGGCACUGAACCCCAAGUUUGUGCCUUCAGUCUCUCGCCUCGGCACCUAGGUAAUCCUUUGCCCACAGGACCACACCACCCUCCCCCAGUGAGAGGAACCAGAGUGACGGGAAAGGGAAGCCCCACACAACCAGCACUCGAGGCCCGGCCCACUGGGAGCACUGGGUGGCCUGGCCUGGGAAAGCCCCUUGUGCCCCUUGGGUGGCACCAGCAGGUACCCGUGGGAGCUCCAGCAGCACCAGACAAACCAAGCAGACCCAAGAUAGCACCAUGAAGGCUCUGAACAUCAAAUUGUCACUGGAAGCAUGGCCUGCAGAAGCGGGCCACAAUCCUCACACUAAACCUAAGCAGAGCGACUGGCUGCAAAAAGGAAAGACUUAAAAAAUAGGAUCCAGAGACCUUCCUCUUCCUCAUGAGUUUUCCAAAUCACACUUGAUUGAAACAAAAACGUUAGCACCAUCUGAGACUCAGGACAGUGAUAUUUAUGAGCGGGGAGGGUAAAGGAAGCUCCAUGCUAUAAGUUCCGCACCUCGCUUGAAGUAGGAAAAGGCCACGGCACGCAGGACUCACUGAGUGGCUACCAAAAGAAACCAACGCUGAGCUAUAGCAUGGCAAGCUAAUACUACAUUUUGGAAAAGCACGCAUAUUGAAAUUUGCGUCAUUUGUGCUAUUAUUUGUGCUAUUAUAAAGACCUGACGCCUGGUGGAACCGUGCUUACAAUGUGUGGGUACUUAAACGCGUGUUCUGAAAAACUCCUCUGCUGCUUCUUCCUCUGAUUUCACAUUCGGUAAACCUGCAAGUGCACACAUUUCAUCCCCUUGCAAGACUGUUGUCAGUGCUCAGUAAGUCUACAUUUUACAUAGGAUGAGGUGAUUACAAAGAUGGCACCAUGGAUAAACGACACUACCUGUGUUAGCAGUUGUGACUUUUCCUUCU
RNAcentral lists this long non-coding RNA (1492 nucleotides) under Homo sapiens (human). RNAcentral's name for it is "HSALNT0344461". The record is from RNAcentral. Lineage: Eukaryota; Metazoa; Chordata; Mammalia; Primates; Hominidae.